Molecule: ribosomal RNA, 484 nt
Filed under: uncultured bacterium
Lineage: Bacteria
Description: partial 16S ribosomal RNA
Rfam family: Bacterial small subunit ribosomal RNA
Source: RNAcentral
AUUGAACGCUGGCGGCAGGCCUAACACAUGCAAGUCGAGCGGAUGAAGGGAGCUUGCUCCUGGAUUCAGCGGCGGACGGGUGAGUAAUGCCUAGGAAUCUGCCUGGUAGUGGGGGAUAACGUCCGGAAACGGGCGCUAAUACCGCAUACGUCCUGAGGGAGAAAGUGAGGGAUCUUCGGACCUCACGCUAUCAGAUGAGCCUAGGUCGGAUUAGCUAGUUGGUGGGGUAAAGGCCUACCAAGGCGACGAUCCGUAACUGGUCUGAGAAGAUGAUCAGUCACACUGGAACUGAGACACGGUCCAGACUCCUACGGGAGGCAGCAGUGGGGAAUAUUGGACAAUGGGCGAAAGCCUGAUCCAGCCAUGCCGCGUGUGUGAAGAAGGUCUUCGGAUUGUAAAGCACUUUAAGUUGGGAGGAAGGGCAGUAAGUUAAUACCUUGCUGUUUUGACGUUACCAACAGAAUAAGCACCGGCUAACUUCGUG